GUCCCCAAUCACACCGCCAGUCACCCCACAGAUCGGCCCUGAUCGCCUGCCAGGCCUAUAGACCCUACCCAUGCACAAAUUGUGUGCACGGGGCAUCUGGUUAAAAUAUAAUGAGAAAUUAGUGUAUAACUUUAAACAAUAUUUUACUAAAGGAAGAAAAUUUUAAAGAACAAUUUUGAGUUUACUGUACUAAUUGAGUGAUUUUAACAUGAGAAGCUGGGAUAUAAAGAUAACUCAGGUGUUAUCUUUAUACACUACUUAUCACCUACUGGGGAGACCAGAGUGUGCAGAGAAUGUGUGGGGAAACGGAAGCUGGAUUUUGAAGAGUAAGGAAACAAGAUAUUAGCAAGGAAUCAUUUUUAAUACCAAUGGCAUGUGUGUAAUAGUCUCCCAUGGGAAAAUUGAAUACUUAUUCCAGUUGAUCGAUACACUAGAAAUUGUCUUGUAAUUACAACACUAGUUUAGUAUUAGCAAAUUUUUGCUGAUUGCCGUUGUAGGAACUUGUAAAUAUUUUUUUGCACCUCCUUGGAAAUUAUAGGAGCUAGGUCACACCAGGAAAAACAACUUGUAGAAUACAGUUUUGACUAAGCCUGUUUCCUCCGUGCAAACCACAACGCUGGCUAUAUAUCUAAUGUUAUCCAGCUGGAAAUUUCAUUUCCCUUCACCAGCAUGACUUUCGGUGCCUGUUAAGCCAAAUACCUCCUUGUUUUACUUUUUACUGCAGUUCUUGUUUCUAGUAUUAAUAUUAUUUAAUCAGGGGGAAAAAUACCAUUUGGACAUUUUCAAAUGCCUCAAAAAAUGCUCAGUUAAUAGAGGAGUAAGUUAGAUUUGGUCCUCCCACAUCCAUCUCUAUCAUGUUGUCAUCCACCCUUCUUGUUUUAGAAUGUUUCCAGUUAGAAAUAACUUCUCUCUUAGCUAGAUCUGUUUCCCUAACUUUCACUUCCUGGUUCUUGGCAAUCUAAGUCUCUGCAUGUGAAAGUUAGUCUUCUUACAAACAGUAACUUUUAAAGUAUCUGAGAAUGACUGUUAAAUCCUGCUUAAGUCUUUUUUGAUGCGCCUAGGGGGGAAGCCCUAAUUCUCAAACCAUAUGCACAUGACAUGGUUUUCAGACCUUUCUCCAUCCACAUCACUAAACUCAUGACAAAGUCUGUUUGUCACUAUACCUCUUAAAACAUGGUAGCCAGAGCUGAACUGACUACUUCCGGUAUGGCUGAACAAUUGCUGAAGACAAUGAAGCUAUUAACUGGAUACUGUGCUUCUAUUCAUGCAGCCUGAAAUGUACAUUAACAUUUUUUGGCAGCCACAUUACCCUUUGAUCAUAUUGAGCUAUGGUCAACUAAAACCUUGUUGUUUUUUUUCCUGUGAACUGCUUUAAAUAUAAUCUUUCUUAUCCUUGCCAGUUAAUGCUUUUAAAGUAAAUGCCAGAUAUUAUGUAUUGCAUUAUAUGAAAGUUGAAAUGAAUUUGUUUUUAUCAAAUGUCAUCCCAUUGGACUAUCUAUCUGAAGAUAAAGAGCUAAAGCAAAGUUUUCACGGGGCUUUCACAAAUAUUUUUAUUUAAUCUUUGCAACAACUAUCCAACAGUCAGAAGAGAAAAAUUACUUUCCACUAAGUCAGGAAUUGGCAGACAUAACACUUCAUCCCAGGCCUGUGAUUCCAGAACCCAUGCUCAUCUCAUUACUGCUCACCGUGUAAGCAUUCAGUUUGUCCUUUGCUGUGUGCCCAGCACUCUGUGGCUGGUACAUCCAGUGAACAAGACAGAUUACAGUCCCUGCCCUUCGGUGUUUAUGGCCUGGCAUGUAAAUAUUACCUCCAGGCCCUGAGCACGUUCUAUGGGGAAGGCUGUGUGGUAAAUUGUAGUAUUGCUCAAAAUGUCUAUUGCACCUCUCGACCAGGGUCCUCUCUGCAGGAGGACUAUAUUUCCCACUCCGUUGACACCAGGUUUGGACACUUGGUUUUCCUUGACCAGUGAAAAUGUUAGAGUAAGAGACAUGUGGGACAUUUGAGCAGAUGUUUCAAACUCUAUCUUAUGUUUCUGCUGGUGGUCUUUUCUUUCUCCCAUAGAACCAGCAUGCUUUGGUGAGGGCUGGUCCCAGGACGGCAGAGCCAUCCGACUGGGUCCCUGGAUGUCGGUGCCUCGCUGAAGCUGAUUCACAAUAGACAUUUUAUUAAUAAAUCCACAUUCUGAAUAAGUAAGAAACAAAACCACCACCACAAAACCAAGGUUACUUAACAGGUACGCAUCAUUCUGGCAGCGGGGCAGGGGCUGUACCUUUGGCUAAGUCCAGAGUUAGGAUCCACGUUUGAUGCCUCUCUGGGGAAGACGCUUCCAUGUUAGGAGACACUCAACUAAAGAGCAGUGUGAGCUGAAGGCAUGGAGACCUGUUCUCGAAAGGUGAGUACUCGUUCUCAUUACGUGGUACUUGUUCAGUGAGCUAGUUUUUCAUUAUUUUCUUUAUUAAAUGGGGGCUGUUCUGUUACGUUCUCAGAUGUAAAACAUAUCUCAGUGAGUUUCACAUAGUCACUUGAAACUUGUCAAGUGUUUAAAAUAUUUUCUAGUUAAUAAUAUUUCAGAGAAAAUAUCAUAGUGCAUUAGGGAAGCAUCAUAUAAUCUAAAGGUAGUUUUAUGAAAUAUAUUUUUCAAAUUAAGCAUAUUUGGGAAUUCCUAUCAAUUUACCUUUGAACCUCAGUGGAUUUUCUUUUCUAUUCUCCAAUAUAAAAAAAAAAAAAAUGUUUGUAUGUUGUAUUGUUUAGCCUGUCAAAUAGCCUGAAAGUUAAAUUCCUAAUUCAAGUGUUUUUUAAUUCAUUACUCUUUUUUCUUUUGUUAAGUGGUCAUGUAUUUAUAUCUUUAUAGUAUAUACUUUUCUGAUUGUAUUAUGGGGUCUUUGAUUAUGUGGGUUAUCAGCUUUGUCUCACUUUGUCACUUAGAAGAAUAUCCACAUUAAAUAAAUGAAAAUUGGAGUAUUUAUCUUAUUUUAAUUAAUACAAUUCUAAGUUAUACUGAGCUAACCCCCACCUUUAUAAGAACAUAUAUAUCUUGAUUUCUUUAAAAACUAUGUAUCAGAAAUGUAAUAGAAUUUUAUUUUCUGAUGAGCAUGCUUAUCAGUUUAAAUGUUACAGAUUUUAGAUGUAUGUUAAAAUGUCCUCAUUUCUGUCAAUUGCUAUUUGUUACUUAGUUGGUUGAUAGAGAACAAUAUAAAGUUGGAUUUCUUGGAUAAUACUUGGAUAUGUUCUAAAAUGAAACUGUUUUCUAUCCUUUGAAGAUUUAUCUCUUCCUUAUCAUUAUUUUGUAAGCCUUUGGCAGAAAUUAUUUAACUUCUCCCGUUCAUUAUAUCUUCCUCAUUUCAUUGAUUCCCUAUAGUCGAAUUUUAUGGUUCUAAACAAAUGUCCCCUACAGACUUCAGUAAUUAAAAAUGUCAGUUAAAUGGAAAAUUUGUGAUAUACGAGAACUUACCUUUUAGUUCUAUUUAUUUUAGUUUUUUAAAAAGUGAUUCUACUUUUUAAUAAAGGUCAGGGGUUAUUCAGUGCAAAAUAGUAUGCAAAAGUUACAAUAAGUAACUAUAUGAUCUCUUUUUGUUAAUUUCUUAAUAUUAAGGUUUUUAAAAACUAGAAAUAUGCUAGUAUCCAAUUGUGGAUGAAAAUGAAAGAUUUUUUGUGUUGUUUUUUGCUUUUUUAACUUUUAAAUCUUCACAGAGUUAUCAUUUUGAAACCAAUAGCAGUUUCACAUUAUAAACUAGGAUUACUUUUUUAUUAGCCUUAACUUCCUUUAAUUUAAUGGAAAGAACCAGUCCCAAAGGUGUGUUUAUAACUUAAUACACAUUAUUCCUGUGAGGCUGAGUAAAACAUAAAAACCAUUCCAUGAAUCCAGAUCUUAGCACAAAACCUGUUCUGCUGUUAACUGUCUUGGGACUAACCAGGUGCAGUUAGAACUGUUUAAAGGUGCUGGCCUUUCCUGCCUUAAUUCAGAGUGGUUCUUUAAAGACUCUUCAGCUGUUUGUCCUCGUGUUCAGUACUUGUCUUACUACAUAAAAAAAAUUUAAAAACAGGGUUUGGGCUGUUUGUUUUGGUUUUUAAAAACUAGUUUGAGAAAGUUUCUUUGCUACUUGUUCCCCAUGCAAAUUUAUAAGAGCUCAAAUUCCCCAGAAGAAAGGAUUUUUGUAAGGUUAAAAGUAUAAAAGGUCCCUAACGGUAUACAGUUGCCUUAAUUUUAACAUUAUACGUUUUUCUUAUCCUAUAGGUUAUAUGUGAAAAUAUUUGGGGCAUCCUGUUUAUAUUUAAUAAUCGCUUGCGUGCUCUGUAUAGUCAGUAGCACAAAAAGAUUUUAUGUUAACCGAAUGCUGAGCUACUUCUGAAUAAAGCCCUGUUCUUUCCAGUAGAUACCUUGUUUCACAUACAGGCUGGCCUGCUGAAUCCUGUAUCCGCCCGCACUCAGUCACUGACUUCCCUCUGUGCGUCCACAUGUGACUGUGGCGCUCUCAGUGCCUCGGCCUGGUGGAAGGAGUUAAGGGAGAAGCAGGAAGGGAAUAAUCGUUUCAGGACAUGGUGAUCAUACAAUAGACAGGCCCUUGAGAGAGGAAAGGCUACAGCUCUGUCUUUUUACGUGACCUUUGGCUGAUUCCUGAAGCACGCUGGCCUCAUACUCCUUGUCCUUAAAGGAGAACAUUGUAGUCUUAAAAUAGAUCCGGAGACAUAGGACCACGAACACACUGAUGAUUUCAGAGGGAAGGGAGGUGGGGGAGGAGGGAUUAACCAGGUUACUUACAUGCACAGCCCAUGGACACAGCCCAGAGUGUGGCAAAGGCUUGGGAGGGGCAGGUUCGAAGGGGGGUGGUAGGGCUUUGAUGCGGGAAGAGGGGCAAAGAGGACAUCUGUAAUACUCAACAAUGAAGAUUAAA
Long non-coding RNA from Pipistrellus kuhlii (Kuhl's pipistrelle), 4892 nucleotides. RefSeq lists it as uncharacterized. The record is from RefSeq and is a predicted model, not a curated record. The transcript has 3 exons. Lineage: Eukaryota; Metazoa; Chordata; Mammalia; Chiroptera; Vespertilionidae.